UGCAUGAAGUCGGAAUUGCUAGUAAUCGCGGAUCAGCAUGCCGCGGUGAAUACGUUCCCGGGCCUUGUACACACCGCCCGUCACACCAUGGGAGCCGGUAAUACCCGAAGUCAGUAGUCCAACCUCGUGAGGACGCUGCCGAAGGUAGGAUUGGUGACUGGGGUGAAGUCGUAACAAGGUACC
This 183-nucleotide ribosomal RNA is filed under the name uncultured bacterium. RNAcentral describes it as "partial 16S ribosomal RNA". It matches the Rfam family "Bacterial small subunit ribosomal RNA", at positions 1317 to 1500 of the family's 1533-position model. The record is from RNAcentral.